This 260-nucleotide ribosomal RNA is filed under the name uncultured bacterium. RNAcentral describes it as "partial 16S ribosomal RNA". It matches the Rfam family "Bacterial small subunit ribosomal RNA", at positions 524 to 776 of the family's 1533-position model. The record is from RNAcentral.
UACAGAGGUCCCAAGCGUUGUUCGGAUUCAUUGGGCGUAAAGGGUGCGUAGGCGGCGCGGUAAGUCGGGUGUGAAAUCUCGGAGCUUAACUCCGAAACUGCAUUCGAUACUGCCGUGCUUGAGGACUGGAGAGGAGAUCGAUUGGAACGUUACGGUAGUGAGCGGAUGAAUGCGUAGAUAUCGUAAGGAAGACCAGUGGCGAAGGCGGGUCUCUGGACAGUUCCUGACGCUGAGGCACGAAGGCCAGGGGAGCAAACGGG